This is a non-coding RNA of Triticum aestivum (bread wheat), 127 nucleotides long. The record is from Rfam. Lineage: Eukaryota; Viridiplantae; Streptophyta; Magnoliopsida; Poales; Poaceae.
AAUGUACUCCCUCCGUCCGAAAAAAGCUUGUCCAUCAAAUGGAUGUAUCUAGCACCAAGAUAGUGCUAGAUACAUCCAUUUGAGGAACAAGCUUGGGACAAGCUUUUUCGGACGGAGGGGGUACUAG